This 253-nucleotide ribosomal RNA is filed under the name uncultured bacterium. RNAcentral describes it as "partial 16S ribosomal RNA". It matches the Rfam family "Bacterial small subunit ribosomal RNA", at positions 524 to 776 of the family's 1533-position model. The record is from RNAcentral.
UACAGAGGGGGCAAGCGUUGUUCGGAAUCACUGGGCGUAAAGGGCGUGUAGGCGGUCUGUUAAGUCUGAUGUGAAAUCCCCUCGCUCAACGAGGGAACUGCGUCGGAUACUGGCAGACUUGAGUACCGGAGAGGAAGGUGGAAUUCCCGGUGUAGCGGUGAAAUGCGUAGAUAUCGGGAGGAACAUCAGUGGCGAAGGCGGCCUUCUGGUCCAGUACUGACACUCAAGUGCGAAAGCGUGGGGAGCAAACAGG